RNAcentral lists this long non-coding RNA (527 nucleotides) under Brassica rapa (field mustard). RNAcentral describes it as "long non-coding RNA (BRAP_LNC005040)". The record is from RNAcentral. Lineage: Eukaryota; Viridiplantae; Streptophyta; Magnoliopsida; Brassicales; Brassicaceae.
CAGAUGUCACGCUACCAUUACACAUUUCUUGAUUCAUUUCUAAAUUUAUAUGAUAACCAAGAAGUUCUGAGUCACAAACCCAUUAGACCUAUAAGACCAAGUCCAGAGAUGUCCAUAAAACACCGACUUUGUUUUAAAAAAGGAUUAUUAAUCUUGUUGAUUACAGGAAUACAAUUAUACAUGCAAAUAAGAAAUAUUUAGACCAGUCAUGACUCAUGUAUGAAGAAAUUCAAGUUAAAUCAAACAGAACAAACCCACUUCCUUUUCAAAUUUGACAAUCGUUUGCCAGAUACGAUGUCGUUUGAAUACGAAGCCAAAAGCGUUAUUAUUUAUAUUCAUAAGAUUGAGAAUACGAAAUUAGACGUGCACCCAAAAGAAGGAAGAACGAAACCAGAGACGGCAUCGUUUUGAAUUAUUUGACAUGUUUACCCCUGAGUUUAACACCAAGAACCUUCUCCAUCUUGGCAAGCACGGCCUGGUUAGGAACAGCUUUCCCGUUUUCGUAUUCUUGAACCACCUGUGUCCGC